RNAcentral lists this ribosomal RNA (515 nucleotides) under fungal sp. E14905D. Its description in RNAcentral is "eukaryotic LSU rRNA". The stretch from base 177 to 330 matches the Rfam family "5.8S ribosomal RNA". The record is from RNAcentral. Lineage: Eukaryota; Fungi.
UUGCUGGAACGCGCCCCAGGCGCACCCAGAAACCCUUUGUGAACUUAUACCUUUUGUUGCCUCGGCGCAUGCUGGUCUCUAGUAGGCCCCUCACCCCGGUGAGGAGACGGCACGCCGGCGGCCAAGUUAACUCUGUUUUUACACUGAAACUCUGAGAAAAAACACAAAUGAAUCAAAACUUUCAACAACGGAUCUCUUGGUUCUGGCAUCGAUGAAGAACGCAGCGAAAUGCGAUAAGUAAUGUGAAUUGCAGAAUUCAGUGAAUCAUCGAAUCUUUGAACGCACAUUGCGCCCUCUGGUAUUCCGGAGGGCAUGCCUGUUCGAGCGUCAUUUCAACCCUCAAGCAUUGCUUGGUGUUGGGGCACUGCUUUUAACGAAGCAGGCCCUGAAAUCUAGUGGCGAGCUCGCCAGGACCCCGAGCGUAGUAGUUAAACCCUCGCUUUGGAAGGCCCUGGCGGUGCCCUGCCGUUAAACCCCCAACUUUUGAAAAUUUGACCUCGGAUCAGGUAGGAAUA